GGGGUUGUGGCUCAGCGGUAGAGCUCAUGCCUAGUGUGUGUGAGGCACUGUGUUCGAUCCUUAGCACCA
This 69-nucleotide transfer RNA is filed under the name Marmota monax (woodchuck). Its description in RNAcentral is "tRNA.Thr". Lineage: Eukaryota; Metazoa; Chordata; Mammalia; Rodentia; Sciuridae. The record is from RNAcentral.